Molecule: ribosomal RNA, 793 nt
Filed under: uncultured bacterium
Lineage: Bacteria
Description: bacterial SSU rRNA
Rfam family: Bacterial small subunit ribosomal RNA
Source: RNAcentral
CAACUGAUAUGACGUGCUUGCACUGAAUUGACGUUGGAUUCCCAGUGAGCGGCGGACGGGUGAGUAACACGUGGGCAACCUGCCCUGAAGCGGGGGAUAACAUCUGGAAACAGGUGCUAAUACCGCAUAACAACGAAAACCACAUGGUUUUCGUUUCAAAGAUGGUUUCGGCUAUCACUUCAGGAUGGGCCCGCGGUGCAUUAGCUAGUUGGUAAGGUAACGGCUUACCAAGGCGAUGAUGCAUAGCCGAGUUGAGAGACUGAUCGGCCACAAUGGAACUGAGACACGGUCCAUACUCCUACGGGAGGCAGCAGUAGGGAAUCUUCCACAAUGGGCGCAAGCCUGAUGGAGCAACACCGCGUGGGUGAAGAGGGGUUUCGGAUCGUAAAGCUCUGUUGUUGGAGAAGAACGUGCGUGAGAGUAACUGUUCACGCAGUGACGGUAUCCAACCAGAAAGUCACGGCUAACUACGUGCCAGCAGCCGCGGUAAUACGUAGGUGGCAAGCGUUAUCCGGAUUUAUUGGGCGUAAAGCGAGCGCAGGCGGUUGCUUAGGUCUGAUGUGAAAGCCUUCGGCUUAACCGAAGAAGUGCAUCGGAAACCGGGCGACUUGAGUGCAGAAGAGGACAGUGGAACUCCAUGUGUAGCGGUGGAAUGCGUAGAUAUAUGGAAGAACACCAGUGGCGAAGGCGGCUGUCUGGUCUGCAACUGACGCUGAGGCUCGAAAGCAUGGGUAGCGAACAGGAUUAGAUACCCUGGUAGUCCAUGCCGUANACGAUGAGUGCUAGGUGUUGG